Small nucleolar RNA from Xyrauchen texanus (razorback sucker), 150 nucleotides. The record is from RefSeq and is a predicted model, not a curated record. Lineage: Eukaryota; Metazoa; Chordata; Actinopteri; Cypriniformes; Catostomidae.
CUUCAGUGAUGAUACGAUGACGAGUCGGAACUGGACCGGUUUUGUCUUUGAGGAUUCUGGGUCAGGUUCACGUUCUGUGGAUCUGGCUUUAGUUCCUCAAAGCAGACGGUCUUCUUAGCUUGAAGACAUCGAGGCAUUUGUCUGAGAAGG